AGAGUUUGAUCAUGGCUCAGGAUGAACGCUGGCGGCGUGCCUAAUACAUGCAAGUCGAGCGAAUGGAUUAAGAGCUUGCUCUUAUGAAGUUAGCGGCGGACGGGUGAGUAACACGUGGGUAACCUGCCCAUAAGACUGGGAUAACUCCGGGAAACCGGGGCUAAUACCGGAUAACAUUUUGAACUGCAUGGUUCGAAAUUGAAAGGCGGCUUCGGCUGUCACUUAUGGAUGGACCCGCGUCGCAUUAGCUAGUUGGUGAGGUAACGGCUCCCCAAGGCAACGAUGCGUAGCCGCCCUGAGAGGGUGAUCGGCCACACUGGGACUGAGACACGGCCCAGACUCCUACGGGAGGCACCAGUAGGGAAUCUUCCGCAAUGGACGAAAGUCUGACGGAGCAACGCCGCGUGAGUGAUGAAGGCUUUCGGGUCGUAAAACUCUGUUGUUAGGGAAGAACAAGUGCUAGUUGAAUAAGCUGGCACCUUGACCGUACCUAACCCAAAAGGCACGGGU
RNAcentral lists this ribosomal RNA (510 nucleotides) under Bacillus sp. (in: firmicutes). Its description in RNAcentral is "bacterial SSU rRNA". It matches the Rfam family "Bacterial small subunit ribosomal RNA", at positions 8 to 498 of the family's 1533-position model. Lineage: Bacteria; Bacillati; Bacillota; Bacilli; Caryophanales; Bacillaceae. The record is from RNAcentral.